RNAcentral lists this ribosomal RNA (449 nucleotides) under uncultured bacterium. Its description in RNAcentral is "partial 16S ribosomal RNA". It matches the Rfam family "Bacterial small subunit ribosomal RNA", at positions 29 to 523 of the family's 1533-position model. The record is from RNAcentral.
AACGAACGCUGGCGGCAUGCCUAACACAUGCAAGUCGAACGAGACCUUCGGGUCUAGUGGCGCACGGGUGCGUAACGCGUGGGAAUCUACCCUUGGGUUCGGAAUAACAGUUAGAAAUGACUGCUAAUACCGGAUGAUAACGUAAGUCCAAAGAUUUAUCGCCCAAGGAUGAGCCCGCGUAAGAUUAGCUUGUUGGUGGGGUAAUGGCCUACCAAGGCGACGAUCUUUAGCUGGUCUGAGAGGAUGAUCAGCCACACUGGGACUGAGACACGGACCAGACUCCUACGGGAGGCAGCAGUGGGGAAUAUUGGACAAUGGGCGAAAGCCUGAUCCAGCAAUGCCGCGUGAGUGAUGAAGGCCUUAGGGUUGUAAAGCUCUUUUACCAGGGAUGAUAAUGACAGUACCUGGAGAAUAAGCUCCGGCUAACUCCGUGCCAGCAGCCGCCGUAA